This is a long non-coding RNA of Manis pentadactyla (Chinese pangolin), 6650 nucleotides long. RefSeq lists it as uncharacterized. The record is from RefSeq and is a predicted model, not a curated record. NCBI's taxonomy places the organism in Eukaryota, Metazoa, Chordata, Mammalia, Pholidota, Manidae. The transcript is spliced from 2 exons.
AAAAUAUUGCUCAGAGAAACUGAAGAUGACUUAUAAUAGAGGGAUAUAAUAUGCUCAUGGAAUAAAAGUCUAAGUAUGAUCAAGAUAUCAAUUUACCCCAAACUGAGCUGUAGAUGCAAAAUAAUACCAAUCAAAACCCCAGUACAUUUUUUUAAAUAUAGAAAUUGAGGGGAGGAGAAAGGAUUAAAGAUGAUGGUGAGAAAGGUGAGACAGAGGCCUCUUCCUAAAACCGCCUAUAAUACAAAAAUAUAAUUAAUACAAUGAAUCUUGAAAGAACAACAGGAAAGAGGGAAGCAACAGACUGCAUAUACCUGGAGAAAAGAAUAGACCUCACGAAAUAGGGUAAUGGUACCAAAGCCAUGGCCUAGUGGGACCCAAGCCCUUCCCCCACCCGAGCUCACCAAUGGGAGGAAAAGAAAUGGAACGGGAGGGAGUGGAGGCCUAGGACUGCUGAACACCUGGCUCUGGAGAUGUGCUCUGGGAGCAAAAACCUACAUUGCAUGGUGCUGUGGUGAUUAGGGGGGUUGGAAAGUUAAGACAUGCAGAAUACCUGGAGAGACUGAGAUUCUGGCCACUUGUGAAAAGCAGGGAUCCAUAUCUGGCUGCUCUGGGACAAAAGAAAGGCGGGCACUAUGAAAGACUUCCUAACAGCAAGAGGGCUGCUAAAGGGGCAAGGACAGCACAGAACCGGGUGCACUCUGACCAGCAGGUUGGGAACUUUCACGAUCUUCAGUCGCUCCAGUCACUGGCUGGAUAUGCAGCUCCAAAGACCCCCUCCGAGGUACGCAGCAUACUGCACCUUCCUCCAAGCCAGCCCACAACUGGCUGGCAAACGGGCAAACCCUGCCCUGGGGUCAGGCCAGCCAGAGGGAAGCCCUGCCUACAGCAGCUAUAAACGCAAAGUAUAGAGACUUAUACCUGUGUGAUUGGCCCACUGGUUCUGGCAGUGGAGACAGGCAUAGCAGCCGGGAAGCAGGAAACAGCUCUUUCCUCUCCCCAGGCACCAACACAGCUCCCCUGCAACCCUUGACAUUGCUCCAGGGGCUGAGCAGCUCGAGUAGAGCUUCCAGGCACUAGAGGAUGCCACAUACAAAUAUGACACAUCAAAGGAACCUGGUUCAAAGCAAAAUCAUACAUACACCAGAGAAAGUCAAGGGAAACCAACCUCAUGAAUCUUCCUGAAAGAGAGUUCAAAAUAAAAAUCGUAAACAUGCUCAUUGAGGUACAGAAAAAAUAUUCAGGAACUCAGGAAUGAAUUCCAUUUGGAGAUCCAAUCAUUACAGACACAUAUAAGAGAUGAAACAUACAAUAGAAGGAAGGUUUUAAAAGCACAUUAGAUACAGUGAAGGAGACAAUAAAUGAAACAGAAAUGAAAGAAGAGAAAUACAAAGAAGCUGAGGCAAAGAGAGAAAAAAGGAACUCUAUGAAUGAAAGAAUAUUGAGAGAACUGUGUGACCAAUACAAAUGGUUCAUAUUAUAGGGGUACCAGAAGAAGAAGAAAGAGAAAAAGUGAUAGACAGUGCCUUGAACAGGUAAUUGCUGAAAAUGUCACCAAUCUGGGGAAGGAGAUAGUCUCUCAGGCCAUGGAGAUCCACAGAUCUCCCAACACAAGGGGCCCAAGGUAAACAACACCAAGACAUAUAAUAAUUAAAACAGCAAAGAUCAAGGAUAAAGACAGACUAUUAAAAGCAGCCAGAGAACUGCCCUUGCACUCUUCACCAUGUAAGAACUUAUUCACUAUGUAAGAACUUGUUUACCAUGUAAGAACUUGUUUGUUAUGCUUCAGAAGAUUGGAGACUAUUGAGAAUUAGGCUUGGGGUUGAUUAAUGAUUGUGCAUUGAGUCCCCUAUACAGAAUUUUAUUGUUGUUAACAACCAUUUGAUCAAUAAGUAUGAGAGAUGCCCUCUCACAAAAAAAAAAAAAGCAGCCAGAGAGAGAAAAAAGAUCACCUACAAAGGAAAGCCCAUCAGGCUAUCAUCAGACUUCUCAGGAGAAACCUUACAGGCCAGAAGGGAGUGGGAUGAUAUGUUUGAUGCAAUUAAGGAGAAUGGCCUCAAACCAAGAAUAUUUUAUCCAGGAAGAUUAUCUUUUAAAUUUGAAGGAGGGAUUAAAUAAUUAGCAGAUAAGCAAAAGCUGAGAGAAUUUACCUCCCACAAGCCAUCUUUACAGUGUAUUUUGGAGGGACUGUUAUAGAUGCAAGUAUUCCUAAGGCUUAACAGAGGUCACCAGAGGAAAUAAAACCACCGUAAAGAAAGUAGAACAGUUAAUUACUUAGCAAAUGCAAAAUUAAAUCAACUAUCCCCCAAGUCAAUCAAGGAAUUGAGAAAGAGUACAGAAUAUGAUACCUAAUAUAUAAAGAAUGGAGGAGGAAGAAAAAGGAGGAGAAAAAAAGAACCUUUAGAUUGUGUUUGUAACUGCAUACUAAGUGAGUUAAGUUAGACUCUUAGAUAGUAAGAAAUUAACCUUGAACCUUUAGUAACCAAGAAUCUAAAGCCUGCAAUGGGAAUAAGUACAUACAUAUCGAUAAUUACCCUAAAUGUAAAUGGUCUCAAUGUACCAAUAAAAAGACACAGAGUUGGUGAAUGGAUAAAAAAACAAGACCCAUCUAUAUGCUGCAUACAAGAGACUCACAAUAAAUCCAAAGACAUACACAGACUAAAAGUGAAGGGAUGGAAAAAGAUAUUUCAUGCAACUAAUAGCGAGAAAAAAGCAGGAGUUGCAGUACUUGUAUCAAUUAAAACAGACUUCAAAAGAAAGAAACUCACAGGAGACAAAGAAGGACAUUAAAUAAUGAUAAAGAGGUCAAUCCAACAAGAAGAUAUAACCAUUAUAAAUACCUAUGCACCAAACACAGGAGCACCUACAUAUAUGAAACAAAUACUAACAGAAUUAAAAGGGGAAAUAGAAUGCAAUGCAUUCAUUCUAGGAGACUUCAAUGCUCCACUCACUCCAAAGGACAGAUCAACCAGACUGAAAAUAAGUAAGGACACAGAGGCACUGAACAGACAGACCUAACAUACAUCUACAGAACUCUACACCUAAAAAAGUAGCAGAAUACUCAUUCUUCUCAAGUGCACAGGGAACAUUUUCAAGAAUAGAUCAUAUAAUAGGCCACAAAAAGAACCUCAGUAAAUUAAAAAAGAUUGAAAUUGUACCAACCAGUUUCUCAGAUCACAAAGGUAUCAAACUAAAAAUAAAUUAUGCAAAGAAAAUGAAAAAUCCCACAAACAUAUGGAGGCUUCACAACAUGCUCCUAUAUAACCAAAGGAUCAAUGACCAAAUAAAAAUAGAGAUCAAGCAACAUAUGGAGAAAAAUGACAACAAUAAUUCAAUACUGCAGAAUCUGUGGGAUGCAGCAACGGCUGUGCCAAGAGGAAAGUAUAUUGUAAUACAGGCCUACCUCAGGAAAGAAGAACAAUCACAUAUGAGCAGUCUAAACUAAGAAUUAAUGAAACUAGAAAAAGAAGAACAAACGAGGCCCAAAGUCAGUAGAAAGAGGGACAUAAUAAAGAUUACAGCAGAAAUAAAUAAAAUUAAAAUGAAGAAAACAAUAGAAAGAAUUAAUGAAAGCAAGAGCUGGUGUUUGAGAAAAUAAACAAAACAGAUAAACCCCUAGCCAGACUUAUCAAGAAAAAAAGAGAGUCUAUACAUAUAAACAGAAUCAGAAAUGAGAACGCAAAAACCACUAUGGACACCAGAGAAAUACAAAUUAUUAGAGAAUACUAUGAAAAAUUAUUUGCUAACAAACUGGAUAACCUAGAAGAAAUGGACAACUUUCUAGAAAAAUACAACCUUCCAAGGCUGACCCAGAAAGAAUCAGAAAAUCUGAACAGACCAAUUACCAGCAAAGAAAUUGAACUGGUAAUCAAAAAUCUACCCAAGAACAAAACCCCUGGGCCAAAUAGAUGGCUUCACUGCUAAAUGUUAUCAAACAUUUAGUGAAGACCUAAUACCCAUCCUCCUUAAAGUUUUCCAAAAAAGUAGAAGAAGAGGGAAUACUCCCAAACUCAUUCUAUGAGGCCAGCAUCACUCUAAUACCAAAAACAGGUAAAGACACCAAAAAAAGAGAAAAUUAUAGACCAAUAUCCAUGAUAAACAUAGAUGCAAAAAUACUGAACAAAAUAUUAGCAAAUCCAAUUUAAAAAUGCAUCAAAAAGAUCAUCCAUCAUGAUCAUGUAGGAUUUAUUCCAGGGAUGCAAGGAUGGUACAACAUUUGAAAAUCCAUCAACAUCAUUCACAACAUCAACAAAAAGAAAGACAAAAACCACACGAUCAUCUCCACAAAUGCUGAAAAACCAUUCGACAAAAUUCAGCAUCCAUUCAUGAUAAAACUCUGAACAAAGUGGGUAUAAAGGGCAAGUACCUCAACGUAAUAAAGGCCAUAUAGGACAAACACACAGCCAACAUCCUACCUAAAAGCAAGAAGCUGAAAGCCUUUCCUUUAAGCUCGGGAACAAGACAAGAAUGCCCACUCUCCCCACUGUUAUUUAACAUGGUUUGGGAAGUCCUUGCCAUGGCAAUCAGACAACACAAAGAAAUAAGAGGCAUCCAGAUUGGUAAAGAAGAAGUUAAACUAUCACUGUUUGCAGAUGACAUGAUAUUGUAUAUAAAAAACCCUAAAGAAUCCACUCCAAAACUACUGGAUCUAAUAUCUGAAUUCAGCAACGUUGCAGGAUACAAAAUUAAUAUACAGAAAUCUGUUGCACUCCUAUACACUAAUGAGAAGUAACAGAAAGAGAAAUCAGGAAAACAAUUCCAUUCACAGUUGCAUCAAAAAGAAUAAAAUACCUAGGAAUAAACCUUACCAAGGAAGUGAAAGACCUAUACACUGAAAACUACAAGACACUGAUGAGAAAAAUUAAACAAGAUACCAAUAAAUGGAAACACAUCCUGUUCUCAUGGAUAGGAAGAAUUAAUACUGUCAAAAUGGCCAACCUGCCUAAAGCCAUAUACAGAUUCAAUGCAAUCCCUAUCAAAACACCAGCAGCAUUCUUCAACAAACUAGAGAAAAUCAUUCUAAAAUUCAUAUGGAACCACAAAAGACCCUGAAUAGCCAAACCAAUCCUGAAAAAGAAGAAUAAAGCUGGGGGGUUUAUGCUCCCCAACUUCAAGCUCUACUACAAAGCCACAGUAAUCAAGACAAUUUGGUACUGGCACAAGAACAGACCCAUAGACCAAUGGAAUAGACUAGAGAGCCCAGAUAUAAAACCAACCAUAUAUGGUCAAUUAAUAUACAAUAAAGGAGCCAUGGAUAUACAGUGGGGAAAUGACAGCCUUUUCAACAACUGGUGUUGGCAAAACUGGACAGCUACAUGCAAGAGAAUGAAACUGUAUUAUUAUCUAUCCCCAUGCACAAAAGUAAACUCGAAAUGUAUCAAAGACUGAAUGUAAGUCAUGAAACCAUAAAACUCUUAAAAGACAACACAGGCAAAAAUCUCCCGAAUAUAAGCAUGAGCAACUUCUCCCUAAACGCGUCUCCUCAAGCAAGGGAAACAGAAGCAAAAAUGAACACAUGGGACUAUAUCAAACUAAAAAGCUUCUGUAUAGCAAAGGACACCAGCAACAGAAGAAAAAGGCAUCCUACAGUAUGGGAGAAUAUAUUUGUAAGUGACAUAUCUGACAUGGGGUUAACAUCCAAAAUAUAUAAAGAACUCACAUGCCUCAACACUCAAAAGGCAAAUAACCUGAUUAAAAAAUAGGCGGAGGAUGUGAAGAGACAAUUCUCCAAAGAAGAAAUUCAGAUGGCCAACAGACACAUGAAAAGAUGCUCCACAUCACUAAUCAUCAGGGAAAUGCAAAUUAAAACCACAGUGAGGUAUCACCUCACACCAGUAAGGAUGGCCAGCAUUGAAAAGCUACAAACAACAAAUGCUGGUGAGGAUGCGGAGAAAGGGGAACCCUCCUGCACUGCUGGUGGGAAUGUAAGCUAGUUCAACCAUUGUGGAAAGCAGUAUGGAGGUUCCUCAAAAAACUAAACAUAGAAAUACCAUUUGAUCUGUGAAUCCCACUCCUUGGAAUUUACCCAAAGAAUACAACUUCUCAGAUUCAAAAAGACAAAUGCACCCCUAUGUUUACUGCAGCACUAUUUACAAUAGCCAAGACAUGGAAGCAACCUAAGUGUCAAUCAGUAGAUGAAUGGAUAAAGAAGAUGGAUAUACACAAUGGAAUACUAUUCAGCCAUAAGAAAGAAACAAAUCCUACCAUUUGCAACAACAUGGAAGGAGCUGGAAGAUAUUAUGCUCAGUGAAAUAAGGCAGAGAAAGACAAGUGGCAAAGGAUUUCCCUCAUUUGUGGAGUAUAACGAAAAGGCAAAACUGAAGAAACAUAACAGCAGCAGACUCACAGACUCCAACAAGGGGCUAGUGGUUACCAAAGGAAAGGGGUGUGGGAGGGUGGGUGGUGAGGGAGGCAGAAAGGGACUGAGGGAUAUUAUGUUUAAUACACAUGGUAUGAGGGGUCACAGGGAAAACAGUGUAGCACAGAGAAGGCAAAUAGUGAAUCUGUGGCAUCUUACUACACUGAUGGACAGUGACUGUAAUGGGAUAUGGGUGGGGACUUGAUAAUAUGGGUAAAUGUAGUAACCACACUGUUUUUUCAUGUGAAACCUUCAUAAGAGUAUAUAUCAAUAACACCUUAAUAAAAAGAAAUUA